CCUACGGGAGGCAGCAGUGAGGAAUAUUGGUCAAUGGGCGCGAGCCUGAACCAGCCAAGUAGCGUGAAGGAUGACUGCCCUACGGGUUGUAAACUUCUUUUCUAAAGGAAUCAAGUGAGGCACGUGUGCCUUUUUGUAUGUACUUUAUGAAUAAGGAUCGGCUAACUCCGUGCCAGCAGCCGCGGUAAUACGGAGGAUCCGAGCGUUAUCCUGAUUUAGUGGGUUUAAAGGGAGCGUAGACGGGUGUUUAAGUCAGUGGUGAAAGGUUGCGGCUCAACCGUAAAAUUGCAAUGGAUACUGGCAGUCUUGAGUACAGUUGAGGUAGGCGGAAUGCGUGGUGUAGCGGUGAAAUGCUUAGAGAUCACGAAGAACUCCGAGUGCGAAGGCAGCUUACUAAACUGCCACUGACAUUGAUGCUCGAAAGUGUGGGUAUCAAACAGGAUUAGAUACCCGAGUAGUC
Molecule: ribosomal RNA, 460 nt
Filed under: uncultured bacterium
Lineage: Bacteria
Description: partial 16S ribosomal RNA
Rfam family: Bacterial small subunit ribosomal RNA
Source: RNAcentral